Molecule: long non-coding RNA, 1021 nt
Organism: Phyllostomus hastatus (greater spear-nosed bat)
Lineage: Eukaryota; Metazoa; Chordata; Mammalia; Chiroptera; Phyllostomidae
Exons: 3
Source: RefSeq, a predicted model, not a curated record
CAGAAUGAAGGCAACAGCAGUGGGGAGAGAAUAAAGUCAAGGAAUCGCAUGGAUCGACUUUGGUGGACCAACAGGACCAAGGGUGAGGGAGAGGGAGGAGUCCAGGUGCUGCUUACAUCUGUCUCCAGGAAUCAGGGCCCUGCUGGGCUCUGUGGCACACAGGUACCAGCCUAUGGAGGGAGACAGACAGAGGGUCCUGGGAGCCAUGGCUGACAUCUAGAAGGAGGGAGCAUCCAACCGAGGAGGUGAGGACCCUACGGUAAAGAAGUGGCUAUGGAGGCAGAUCACGUGGCAACCGAAGCAAAGAGAAGCCCCCGUCGAUGCCGACACACACACGUACACACCCACGGAGACCCCCCGGCCCUCACCCAGGAAGCCCCGAGCGACACUCCAGACAACGCCUCACCCUCAGGGCCAGGUGUUCCCCAGGAGACGGCACAGAGCAGAUGUGCCUCGCGGCCCGCAGCUGCCCCAGACUCCUGCCUUCCAGACAAGCCAGGGGGACCAGCUCUGUCACUCGCCAGGGAGACUCAGAUGAAGUGAAGCCUGCCUGUUUGCUUUGGAACCCUUGGCAAGAUGGGGGACUACACUUGGAUGCCUGGACAUGUCAUCUGAAGGCCUGGGGGACAGGACAGGGUGGCCCUGUAACUCAAUCAGUUAUGCUUUAUGGCUUGAGCUUGGGAGAGCAGCAUCAUUUGUCAGGGCCUAAGACCCAUGCCCCUCUCCGCCUCACUCUGCACACCUCUCUCUCAGCCCCCUGCGCACCCCUGCCCCCCGCAUAUACCCUGCUUGCAGAGAGGCGAUGAAGAGCAAUGGUUAAGGACACAGAUUUUGGAGGCAGACUGCCUGGUCUGAAUGUCAGCUCUGCCACCUAAUGGCUGAGUGGACCUUAAGCCUCAGGUUCCCCAUCUGUACAAUGGGUUUGUGAUAACAACGGCACCUCUCUCGCAGGGAGGCUGGAAUGAGUUAAUGCAAGGAAAGCCCUCAGAAGGUAUCUGGCCCAUAGUGAAUACUCGAUAAA